Molecule: ribosomal RNA, 485 nt
Filed under: uncultured bacterium
Lineage: Bacteria
Description: partial 16S ribosomal RNA
Rfam family: Bacterial small subunit ribosomal RNA
Source: RNAcentral
GACGAACGCUGGCGGCGUGCUUAACACAUGCAAGUCGAACGCUGAAGACCUGGCUUUUGUUGGGUUGGAUGAGUGGCGAACGGGUGAGUAACACGUGAGUAACCUGCCCUCUUCUUUGGGAUAACGCCCGGAAACGGGUGCUAAUACUGGAUAUUCACUGGCCUUCGCAUGGGGGUUGGUGGAAAGGUUUGUUCUGGUGGGGGAUGGGCUCGCGGCCUAUCAGCUUGUUGGUGGGGUGAUGGCCUACCAAGGCUUUGACGGGUAGCCGGCCUGAGAGGGUGACCGGGCACAUUGGGACUGAGAUACGGCCCAGACUCCUACGGGAGGCAGCAGUGGGGAAUAUUGCACAAUGGGCGAAAGCCUGAUGCAGCGACGCCGCGUGAGGGAUGGAGGCCUUCGGGUUGUAAACCUCUUUCGCUCAUGGUCAAGCCGCAACUGUGGGUUGUGGUGAGGGUAGUGGGUAAAGAAGCGCCGGCUAACUACGU